AAUAGUUCAUUAAUAAGUAGCAAUAGACCGCAAUAAAAGCGAGAAAACAUCUAUUUGGUUGCGUGGCACUAGUCAUAUCGGGCAGUAUCUAACAAAAUUAACGCCAGUCUCUUUGAAUUCUUCGUAGAGUAUCUUAGCCGUAUUAUCAGUAUGCGCUGGCGCAUCUCAGUUGAUAAUCUCAUAGUUAUUGUUUCUGACCAGUGAGAAAUUAUAGAAAACGCUUUACAACUCAUGCAUUUCUGUAUUUUCUAUAUAUUAUUUUGAAUAAA
Molecule: long non-coding RNA, 269 nt
Filed under: Ananas comosus (pineapple)
Lineage: Eukaryota; Viridiplantae; Streptophyta; Magnoliopsida; Poales; Bromeliaceae
Description: long non-coding RNA (ACOM_LNC002716)
Source: RNAcentral